GACGAACGCUGGCGGCGUGCUUAACACAUGCAAGUCGAACGGAAAGGCCCUGCUUUUGUGGGGUGCUCGAGUGGCGAACGGGUGAGUAACACGUGAGUAACCUGCCCUUGACUUUGGGAUAACUUCAGGAAACUGGGGCUAAUACCGGAUAGGAGCUCCUGCUGCAUGGUGGGGGUUGGAAAGUUUCGGCGGUUGGGGAUGGACUCGCGGCUUAUCAGCUUGUUGGUGGGGUAGUGGCUUACCAAGGCUUUGACGGGUAGCCGGCCUGAGAGGGUGACCGGCCACAUUGGGACUGAGAUACGGCCCAGACUCCUACGGGAGGCAGCAGUGGGGAAUAUUGCACAAUGGGCGGAAGCCUGAUGCAGCAACGCCGCGUGCGGGAUGACGGCCUUCGGGUUGUAAACCGCUUUCGCCUGUGACGAAGCGUGAGUGACGGUAAUGGGUAAAGAAGCACCGGCUAACUACGUGCCAGUAGCCGCGGUGAUACGUAGGGUGCGAGCGUUGUCCGGAUUUAUUGGGCGUAAAGGGCUCGUAGGUGGUUGAUCGCGUCGGAAGUGUAAUCUUGGGGCUUAACCCUGAGCGUGCUUUCGAUACGGGUUGACUUGAGGAAGGUAGGGGAGAAUGGAAUUCCUGGUGGAGCGGUGGAAUGCGCAGAUAUCAGGAGGAACACCAGUGGCGAAGGCGGUUCUCUGGGCCUUUCCUGACGCUGAGGAGCGAAAGCGUGGGGAGCGAACAGGCUUAGAUACCCUGGUAGUCCACGCUGUAAACGGUGGGUACUAGGUGUGGGGUCCAUUCCACGGGUUCCGUGCCGUAGCUAACGCUUUAAGUACCCCGCCUGGGGAGUACGGCCGCAAGGCUAAAACUCAAAGGAAUUGACGGGGCCCCGCACAAGCGGCGGAGCAUGCGGAUUAAUUCGAUGCAACGCGUAGAACCUUACCUGGGUUUGACAUGGAUCGGGAGUGCUCAGAGAUGGGUGUGCCUCUUUUGGGGUCGGUUCACAGGUGGUGCAUGGCUGUCGUCAGCUCGUGUCGUGAGAUGUUGGGUUAAGUCCCGCAACGAGCGCAACCCUUGUUCACUGUUGCCAGCACGUUAUGGUGGGGACUCAGUGGAGACCGCCGGGGUCAACUCGGAGGAAGGUGGGGAUGACGUCAAGUCAUCAUGCCCCUUAUGUCCAGGGCUUCACGCAUGCUACAAUGGCUGGUACAGAGAGUGGCGAGCCUGUGAGGGUGAGCGAAUCUCGGAAAGCCGGUCUCAGUUCGGAUUGGGGUCUGCAACUCGACCUCAUGAAGUCGGAGUCGCUAGUAAUCGCAGAUCAGCAACGCUGCGGUGAAUACGUUCCCGGG
RNAcentral lists this ribosomal RNA (1343 nucleotides) under uncultured bacterium. RNAcentral's name for it is "16S ribosomal RNA". It matches the Rfam family "Bacterial small subunit ribosomal RNA", at positions 28 to 1378 of the family's 1533-position model. The record is from RNAcentral.